AAUUGCCAAGGUCGGAAAUGGUUCCCGACACACUCCGAAAAGAGUAUCUGAGAUGAUGGAUACACCGCCCAUCUGGUGAUU
Molecule: non-coding RNA, 81 nt
Filed under: unclassified sequences
Description: skipping-rope RNA
Rfam family: skipping-rope RNA
About the family: Firmicutes, Fusobacteria, AlphaProteobacteria, Spirochaetes. Downstream gene
Source: Rfam by way of RNAcentral